GAUGAAGAACGCAGCGAAAAGCGAUACGUAAUGUGAAUUGCAGAAUUCAGUGAAUCAUCGAGUCUUUGAACGCACAUUGCGCCCCCUGGUAUUCCGGGGGGCAUGCCUGUCCGAGCGUCAUUGCUGCCCUCAAGCACGGCUUGUGUGUUGGGCCUCCGUCCUCCUCCCGGGGGACGGGCCCGAAAGGCGGCGGCGGCACCGCGUCCGGUCCUCGAGCGUAUGGGGCUUCGUCACCCGCUCUUGUAGGCCCGGCCGGCGCUUGCCGACACAUCAAUCUUUUUUCCAGGUUGACCUCGGAUCAGGUAGGGAUACCCGCUGAACUUAAGCAUAUCAAUAAGCGGAGGA
This 345-nucleotide unclassified non-coding RNA is filed under the name soil metagenome. Its description in RNAcentral is "partial contains 5.8S ribosomal RNA, internal transcribed spacer 2, and large subunit ribosomal RNA". The stretch from base 1 to 120 matches the Rfam family "5.8S ribosomal RNA", at positions 35 to 154 of the family's 154-position model. The record is from RNAcentral.